CUCUACCACACCCAUCCAUUCAUUCAUACACAAACUCUCGCCACCCAUCCCUGUCCUGAGCAGCCUCUCUCCCCUGCACCACAGUCAUCCCUCUUGCAUUCAGCGCUCUCCUUACACCCUCCGUCCAUCCCAUUCGUGGUCUUCCUCUCAUUCUCACUCCACUCACAUCAGAUUCAUAUACCCUUUUCACCAAACGCUCCCUUUCCAUUCUUUCAACAUGUCCAAACCAUCCCAGUGCCUUUUGCUCUGCUCUAUAGGCCAACUCUCGCAUCAGACCAGUUCUCUCUCGGAUAACUUCAUUUCUCACACGAUCCAUACGCGUCACACCACACAUACUCCUCAAACAUCUCAUCUCAACUACAUUCAGCUUCCUCUUUUCCGCCACCUUCAGACUCUGUUUCAGCCCCAUAUAACACUGCAGGCACCACCACACCCUCAUAGAAUCUCUGUUUCGCAUGCUUUUCCAGUGAUCUACAUUCAAUCACUUUCUUCAUCCCCCCCCAUAUCUUUCGUACUUCGUUCAUUCUAAACUCUACCUCUUCCCCUAUUCCACCAUCCACACAGACACACCACCCCAAAUACUGAAAACACUCUACCUCUUCCAACAACUCCCCAUUUAAUGCCACAUUCAAUCUACGUUCACCCUUUAACCUCGUACACCUCAUCACCUUACUCUUUCCCUUAUUCACCAAUUUACGAUACUAAUAUUAAUAAUAUUAAUAAAUAAUAUUAUGACGUCUGUUGUAAACGAACAGAGCUGGGAGAUAGUAUUCGAAAGGUGCCUUUAUUAUUGUUAUGAUUAUUAUUGAAUUCAUGUUCUCUUAUAGUUCUUUUAAUCUGUGCACCCGUUGCUUUAUUAUUGACAGAACGGACCCGGAAGGGCAACAUUUAGCCGUGCUGACAAAAAUUUCAGCCACGGCUGAACUUAAACUGGAGUAACGAGCGGAUUGUGACAACAUGUCUUUAUAAAAAUGACAAAGAAUAUUGUCAUACACAAUUUAUGGGGGAAAACUCCUUUAGGUUACAAAAGGGAACGUGAAAUGAAAAUACGUAGAGCCCAAGCAGAUGUCAACGCUACGUAGUUUGUCCAAGUGGGGUUACCGUAGUGUGACGUUAUACUCAGUCGAAAGGACCCCGAACGGAAGUUCCAGGCCGAAAGGUUAUGGAACCUACACCGUAUUUUGUGAUUUGUGCAAAGGCGAUACUGCAUUAGGACAUGUAUUGUCUCUGGAUAUUAUAUGUAUCACUUGUUUGAUAAGUGCCUUGCCUAGCAAUUUAUGUGCACAAGAUACUUCAAAAGCACAUAUAUUUGAGAGUUUGCUCUGCACUUAUAUUUUCCCACAAAUGUUUAAAAACAGGUGUGAAGAGUAUUGACAGGUCAACCCAAGUUUGAUUAAGAUAUACAGUAAUAUCCUCAUUGCUUCAUCAAAGGUAAUAAAUACAAUGGCACUUCGGGCAUACAACAAAUUUUGUCAUUUUCAACAGCCAAUUUCUUCCUGAGCAUGUAUCAAGUGGCAGGAAAGUCUUUUGUGAUGUUUUGUAAAACAGUAUCUCAUAUUAUACCAAAAAAAAACCCAUAAGAAACCUUUUAAAAAACUUUAGGAUCGUUUUUGGUAAGAAAUCAAUGAUAACUGCUGCUCUGUUUAGUGUUUUCAGGGAGUGGGUGAAGAAAGUUUAUUUUUUUUAACUUUAUUGUUCAAAAUGUAGGUACAGCCAGGAGAGCAAACAUAUUACAUGCAUUUUACACAAAAACAUUCAGGUUUCCACAACUUUCAUACAAACAUACAGCUUUCUUAAGGCUUUCAGAGAUUUAACUGAGAUACAUUUCAAUUUGUUUGAUUAACACGGGGGGGGGGGGGGGGUAGAAGAUGAAUAGAAUUAGCAUUUAUGAAUAUACAAUUUGCCAAAUAUAAUAAUAACAUUAAUUAUUAGUUUUUAUUUGAGUCCAAGUUUUUAUUAUAAAACCCAAACAUUAUAUAUUCGAAUUUCAGAGUGAAGUUGGGGUGAAUAUGAUUACUGAUAAAUUGUAAACACUUCUUCCCAAAAAAUUCUAAUUUCAGUACAAUUCCAAAAAAGAUGGUUAAUUGCUUUUGGAUGUUCUUUGCAAAAGGGACAGUUAGGAUCAAUUUUUUAAUGUAUCUUAGCAUGAAUUGAUUAGUGGGGUACAUUUUGUGAAUGAUUUUAAAAGAAACUUCUUUCAUUUUUUUAUUUUAUUUAUCAUAGAUUUUUGGGUCACACUCCAGCCCUAUCUCCAAAUGCUGCCGGGAACAAAACGUCUUCAGUAGUUUCGAAGCCGCAAAAUAACACGAGGAGAACGAACAACCGUGACGUCUUACCCGAGCUCCAGUAAAGUGAAAUUUGAUUGGUCACGUUCUGCAAAGCGACCAAUCAGCUGUCGAGUUACAGCGCUCCGCGCCACCAUGACGCAGUCUGUUUGAAAACAAUGGCGGCACGGAGCGUUAGGUCCGAAGAUGAAGACGGACAAAAAGAAUAAAAGUUGACCGUAGGAGACAUGGACACCCUCUAGUAAGCGAGGCCGGCCGCGUCCUCACAGCGAAAAGACCUCAGAGGAUCCGGGAGUUGGCGGCAGUGACCCGGCCGAGCCGAUAAGUUCAGGAAAAUAGUCUUCAUCUGAAGAGAUUGAAACAGAAUCACAGAGGCUGGACGACGUG
This is a non-coding RNA of Oryzias latipes (Japanese medaka), 2672 nucleotides long. The record is from RefSeq and is a predicted model, not a curated record. NCBI's taxonomy places the organism in Eukaryota, Metazoa, Chordata, Actinopteri, Beloniformes, Adrianichthyidae.